GAUGAACGCUGGCGGCGUGCCUAACACAUGCAAGUCGAGCGGCAGCGAGGGGUGCUUGCACCCUGUCGGCGAGCGGCGGACGGCUGAGUAACGCGUGGGAACGUGCCCCAAAGUGAGGAAUAACUGCCCGAAAGGGUAGCUAAUACCGCAUAUUAUCUUCGGAUCAAAGGAUUUAUCCGCUUUGGGAGCGGCUCGCGUCGGAUUAGGUAGUUGGUGAGGUAAUGGCUCACCAAGCCGACGAUCCGUAGCUGGUCUGAGAGGAUGACCAGCCAGACUGGAACUGAGACACGGUCCAGACUCCUACGGGAGGCAGCAGUAAGGAAUCUUCCACAAUGGGCGAAAGCCUGAUGGAGCAACGCCGCGUGCAGGACGAAGGCCUUCGGGUUGUAAACUGCUUUUAUAAGUGAGGAAUAUGACGGUAACUUAUGAAUAAGAAUCGGCUAACUACGUG
Molecule: ribosomal RNA, 451 nt
Filed under: uncultured bacterium
Lineage: Bacteria
Description: partial 16S ribosomal RNA
Rfam family: Bacterial small subunit ribosomal RNA
Source: RNAcentral